CCUCGGGAGGCAGCAGUGGGGAAUAUUGGACAAUGGGCGAAAGCCUGAUCCAGCCAUGCCGCGUGUGUGAAGAAGGCCUUCGGGUUGUAAAGCACUUUCAGUGGGGAAGAAAGCCUUGGGGCUAAUACCCUCGAGGAAGGACAUCACCCACAGAAGAAGCACCGGCUAACUCCGUGCCAGCAGCCGCGGUAAUACGGAGGGUGCGAGCGUGAAUCGGAAUUACUGGGCGUAAAGCGCGCGUAGGCGGUCUGAUAAGCCGGUUGGGAAAGCCCCGGGCUCAACCUGGGAACGGCAUCCGGAACUGUCAGGCUAGAGUGCAGGAGAGGAAGGUAGAAUUCCCGGUGUAGCGGUGAAAUGCGUAGAGAUCGGGAGGAAUACCAGUGGCGAAGGCGGCCUUCUGGACUGACACUGACGCUGAGGUGCGAAAGCGUGGGUAGCAAACAGGAUUAGAUACCCCAGUAGUC
This 464-nucleotide ribosomal RNA is filed under the name Vreelandella stevensii. RNAcentral's name for it is "partial 16S ribosomal RNA". It matches the Rfam family "Bacterial small subunit ribosomal RNA", at positions 339 to 795 of the family's 1533-position model. Lineage: Bacteria; Pseudomonadati; Pseudomonadota; Gammaproteobacteria; Oceanospirillales; Halomonadaceae. The record is from RNAcentral.